GAUUGAACGCUGGCGGCAUGCCUAACACAUGCAAGUCGAACGAUCUCUUCGGAGAUAGUGGCGCACGGGUGCGUAACGCGUGGGAAUCUGCCCUUGGGUUCGGAAUAACAGUUGGAAACGACUGCUAAUACCGGAUGAUGACGUUAAGUCCAAAGAUUUAUCGCCCAGGGAUGAGCCCGCGUUAGGAUUAGCUAGUUGGUGAGGUAAAGGCUCACCAAGGCGACGAUCCUUAGCUGGUCUGAGAGGAUGAUCAGCCACACUGGGACUGAGACACGGCCCAGACU
Molecule: ribosomal RNA, 284 nt
Filed under: uncultured soil bacterium
Lineage: Bacteria
Description: partial 16S ribosomal RNA
Rfam family: Bacterial small subunit ribosomal RNA
Source: RNAcentral